CCUACGGGAGGCAGCAGUGGGGAAUAUUGGGCAAUGGAGGCAACUCUGACCCAGCAAUGCCGCGUGAGUGAUGAAGGUAUUCUGAUUGUAAAGCUCUUUUCUUUGGGACGAAUAAAUGACGGUACCAAAGGAAUAAGCUCCGGCUAACUACGUGCCAGCAGCCGCGGUAAUACGUAGGGGGCAGGCGUUGUUCGGAAUGAAUGGGGGGAAAGGGUGUGUAGGUGGUUUGUUAAGUUAGAUGUGUAAUACCCAGGGCUUAACUCGGGUGCUGCAUCUAAAACUGUUAGACUUGAGUACUGGAGAGGAGAGUGGAAUUCCAUGUGUAGCGGUGGAAUGCGUAGAUAUUAGGAGGAACAUCAGUGGCGAAGGCGACUAUCUGGACAGCAACUGACACUGAGGCACGAAAGCGUGGGGAGCAAACAGGAUUAGAUACCCUAGUAGUC
RNAcentral lists this ribosomal RNA (443 nucleotides) under uncultured bacterium. RNAcentral describes it as "partial 16S ribosomal RNA". It matches the Rfam family "Bacterial small subunit ribosomal RNA", at positions 338 to 795 of the family's 1533-position model. The record is from RNAcentral.